RNAcentral lists this ribosomal RNA (402 nucleotides) under uncultured bacterium. Its description in RNAcentral is "bacterial SSU rRNA". It matches the Rfam family "Bacterial small subunit ribosomal RNA", at positions 355 to 774 of the family's 1533-position model. The record is from RNAcentral.
UGGGGAAUAUUGCACAAUGGGGGAAACCCUGAUGCAGCGACGCCGCGUGAGGGAAGACGGUUUUCGGAUUGUAAACCUCUGUCUCUGGUGAAGAUAAUGACGGUAACCAGAGAAGAAGCCCCGGCUAACUUCGUGCCAGCAGCCGCGGUAAUACGAAGGGGGCAAGCGUUGUUCGGAAUUACUGGGCGUAAAGCGCACGCAGGCGGCGUGACGCGUCAGAAGUGAAAUCCCCGGGCUCAACCUGGGAACUGCUUUUGAAACGGUCAUGCUCGAAUCAUGGAGAGGGUAGCGGAAUUCCGAGUGUAGAGGUGAAAUUCGUAGAUAUUCGGAAGAACACCAGUGGCGAAGGCGGCUUACUGGACUGUAACUGACGUUGAGGCUCGAAAGCAUGGGUAGCAAACA